RNAcentral lists this ribosomal RNA (586 nucleotides) under uncultured bacterium. RNAcentral describes it as "bacterial SSU rRNA". It matches the Rfam family "Bacterial small subunit ribosomal RNA", at positions 338 to 916 of the family's 1533-position model. The record is from RNAcentral.
CCUACGGGAGGCAGCAGUGGGGAAUUUUGGACAAUGGGCGAAAGCCUGAUCCAGCAAUGCCGCGUGAGUGAAGAAGGCCUUCGGGUUGUAAAGCUCUUUUGUCAGGGGAGAAACGGUGAGGGCUAAUAUCCCUUGCUAAUGACGGUACCUGAAGAAUAAGCACCGGCUAACUACGUGCCAGCAGCCGCGGUAAUACGUAGGGUGCAAGCGUUAAUCGGAAUUACUGGGCGUAAAGCGUGCGCAGGCGGUUUUGUAAGUCUGUCGUGAAAUCCCCGGGCUCAACCUGGGAAUUGCGAUGGAGACUGCAAGGCUAGAAUCUGGCAGAGGGGGGUAGAAUUCCACGUGUAGCAGUGAAAUGCGUAGAGAUGUGGAGGAACACCGAUGGCGAAGGCAGCCCCCUGGGUCAAGAUUGACGCUCAUGCACGAAAGCGUGGGGAGCAAACAGGAUUAGAUACCCUGGUAGUCCACGCCCUAAACGAUGUCUACUAGUUGUCGGGUUUUAAUUAACUUGGUAACGCAGCUAACGCGUGAAGUAGACCGCCUGGGGAGUACGGUCGCAAGAUUAAAACUCAAAAGGAAUUGACGG